RNAcentral lists this transfer RNA (72 nucleotides) under Coemansia erecta. RNAcentral's name for it is "tRNA-Gln". It matches the Rfam family "tRNA". Rfam says of the family: Transfer RNA (tRNA) molecules are approximately 80 nucleotides in length. Their secondary structure includes four short double-helical elements and three loops (D, anti-codon, and T loops). Further hydrogen bonds mediate the characteristic L-shaped molecular structure. tRNAs have two regions of fundamental functional importance: the anti-codon, which is responsible for specific mRNA codon recognition, and the 3' end, to which the tRNAs corresponding amino acid is attached (by aminoacyl-tRNA synthetases). tRNAs cope with the degeneracy of the genetic code in two manners: having more than one tRNA (with a specific anti-codon) for a particular amino acid; and 'wobble' base-pairing, i.e. permitting non-standard base-pairing at the 3rd anti-codon position. RNAcentral also lists the same sequence under 41 other names. The record is from RNAcentral. Lineage: Eukaryota; Fungi; Kickxellomycota; Kickxellomycetes; Kickxellales; Kickxellaceae.
GGUUUUAUAGUGUAGUGGUUAUCACUUCUGGUUUUGAUCCAGACAACCCGAGUUCGAAUCUCGGUAAGACCU